This is a non-coding RNA of Hemicordylus capensis (graceful crag lizard), 75 nucleotides long. The record is from the annotation of a RefSeq genome assembly. Lineage: Eukaryota; Metazoa; Chordata; Lepidosauria; Squamata; Cordylidae.
GGGGUUGUAGCUCAGGGGUAGAGCAUCUGCUUCACAUGCAGAAGGUCCCAGGUUCACUCCCUGGCCCCAUCUCCA